CCUACGGGUGGCAGCAGUGGGGAAUAUUGCACAAUGGGGGAAACCCUGAUGCAGCGACGCCGCGUGAGUGAAGAAGUAUUUCGGUAUGUAAAGCUCUAUCAGCAGGGAAGAAAAUGACGGUACGUGAUUCAUAAGCCCCGGCUAACUACGUUCCAGCAGCCGCGGUAAUACGUAGGGGGCAAGCGUUAUCCGGAUUUACUGGGUGUAAAGGGAGCGUAGACGGCAGCACAAGUCUGGAGUGAAAUGGCGGGGCUUAACCCCGAAACUGCGUUGGAAACUGUGAAGGUAGAGUGCAGGUGAGGUAAGUGGAAUUCCUAGUGUAGCGGUGAAAUGCGUAGAUAUUAGGAGGAACACCAGUGGCGAAGGCGGCUUACUGGACUGUAACUGACGUUGAGGCUCGAAAGCGUGGGUAGCAAACAGGAUUAGAUACCCCAGUAGUC
RNAcentral lists this ribosomal RNA (440 nucleotides) under uncultured bacterium. Its description in RNAcentral is "partial 16S ribosomal RNA". It matches the Rfam family "Bacterial small subunit ribosomal RNA", at positions 338 to 795 of the family's 1533-position model. The record is from RNAcentral.